RNAcentral lists this ribosomal RNA (967 nucleotides) under Staphylococcus epidermidis. RNAcentral's name for it is "bacterial SSU rRNA". It matches the Rfam family "Bacterial small subunit ribosomal RNA", at positions 117 to 1058 of the family's 1533-position model. The record is from RNAcentral. Lineage: Bacteria; Bacillati; Bacillota; Bacilli; Caryophanales; Staphylococcaceae.
GUGGAUAACCUACCUAUAAGACUGGGAUAACUUCGGGAAACCGGAGCUAAUACCGGAUAAUAUAUUGAACCGCAUGGUUCAAUAGUGAAAGACGGUUUUGCUGUCACUUAUAGAUGGAUCCGCGCCGCAUUAGCUAGUUGGUAAGGUAACGGCUUACCAAGGCAACGAUGCGUAGCCGACCUGAGAGGGUGAUCGGCCACACUGGAACUGAGACACGGUCCAGACUCCUACGGGAGGCAGCAGUAGGGAAUCUUCCGCAAUGGGCGAAAGCCUGACGGAGCAACGCCGCGUGAGUGAUGAAGGUCUUCGGAUCGUAAAACUCUGUUAUUAGGGAAGAACAAAUGUGUAAGUAACUAUGCACGUCUUGACGGUACCUAAUCAGAAAGCCACGGCUAACUACGUGCCAGCAGCCGCGGUAAUACGUAGGUGGCAAGCGUUAUCCGGAAUUAUUGGGCGUAAAGCGCGCGUAGGCGGUUUUUUAAGUCUGAUGUGAAAGCCCACGGCUCAACCGUGGAGGGUCAUUGGAAACUGGAAAACUUGAGUGCAGAAGAGGAAAGUGGAAUUCCAGGUGUAGCGGUGAAAUGCGCAGAGAUAUGGAGGAACACCAGUGGCGAAGGCGACUUUCUGGUCUGUAACUGACGCUGAUGUGCGAAAGCGUGGGGAUCAAACAGGAUUAGAUACCCUGGUAGUCCACGCCGUAAACGAUGAGUGCUAAGUGUUUAGGGGGGUUUCCGCCCCCUUAGUGCUGCAGCUAACGGCAUUAAGCACUCCCGCCUGGGGGAGUACGACCGCAAGGGUUGAAACUCAAAGGAAUUGACGGGGACCCGCACAAGCGGUGGAGCAUGUGGGUUUAAUUCGAAGCAACGCGGAAGAACCUUACCAAAUCUUGACAUCCUCUGACCCCUCUAGAAAAUGAAGUUUUCCCCUUCGGGGGACAGAGUGACAGGUGUUGCAUGGUUGUCGUCAG